This 468-nucleotide ribosomal RNA is filed under the name uncultured bacterium. RNAcentral describes it as "partial 16S ribosomal RNA". It matches the Rfam family "Bacterial small subunit ribosomal RNA", at positions 28 to 507 of the family's 1533-position model. The record is from RNAcentral.
GACGAACGCUGGCGGCGUGCUUAACACAUGCAAGUCGAACGGAAAGGCCCUGCUUUUGUGGGGUGCUCGAGUGGCGAACGGGUGAGUAACACGUGGGUAACCUGCCCUUAACUUUGGGAUAACUUCAGGAAACUGGGGCUAAUACCGGAUAGGAGCUCCUGCUGCAUGGUGGGGGUUGGAAAGUUUCGGCGGUUGGGGAUGGACUCGCGGCUUAUCAGCUUGUUGGUGGGGUAGUGGCUUACCAAGGCUUUGACGGGUAGCCGGCCUGAGAGGGUGACCGGCCACAUUGGGACUGAGAUACGGCCCAGACUCCUACGGGAGGCAGCAGUGGGGAAUAUUGCACAAUGGGCGGAAGCCUGAUGCAGCAACGCCGCGUGCGGGAUGACGGCCUUCGGGUUGUAAACCGCUUUCGCCUGUGACGAAGCGUGAGUGACGGUAAUGGGUAAAGAAGCACCGGCUAACUACGUG